RNAcentral lists this ribosomal RNA (253 nucleotides) under uncultured bacterium. RNAcentral's name for it is "partial 16S ribosomal RNA". It matches the Rfam family "Bacterial small subunit ribosomal RNA", at positions 524 to 776 of the family's 1533-position model. The record is from RNAcentral.
UACAGAGGUCUCAAGCGUUGUUCGGAUUCAUUGGGCGUAAAGGGUGCGUAGGCGGCGUCGUAAGUCGGGUGUGAAAUCUCGGGGCUUAACUCCGAAAUUGCAUUCGAUACUGCGGUGCUUGAGGACUGGAGAGGAGACUGGAAUUCACGGUGUAGCAGUGAAAUGCGUAGAUAUCGUGAGGAAGACCGGUGGCGAAGGCGGGUCUCUGGACAGUUCCUGACGCUGAGAGACGAAAGCUAGGGGAGCGAAUGGG